RNAcentral lists this long non-coding RNA (418 nucleotides) under Junco hyemalis (dark-eyed junco). RNAcentral describes it as "lncRNA (ENSJHYG00000000415.1)". The record is from RNAcentral. Lineage: Eukaryota; Metazoa; Chordata; Aves; Passeriformes; Passerellidae.
CAGCAUUUUUGGCAAGCAUAUGUACAGACCACAGUAGCACAAUGCAGCAGUGUGUGAGGGCAGAUUUGUUACUGGAAUUAGUCAAAUCACAGCAAGGAAAGUGGUCAGGUAUCUUUCCAGGAGCAACUUCAUUAUCUGGGCAUGGGUAUGUACAGCUUGUGGGACCAUAAAAAAACCUCUCAGUAUAAAGGCAAAGAGCUUUCUCCUUCUGGGCAUAGAUGGAGUCAAGAGACUGAAUGAACCAUCCACAUCUUGCUGCAUUGUCUUCCAUUAUCUCUCAGUCUUUACAUCAGAAACACCAGAAGAAAACAUGGUGCAAUGCAGACCCUCCAUGUGCCACAGGCUGCUGGGAAUGACAGGACACAUUCUUCCAGGGCUGCCUGAUGUCUGCUCCAGAAGGAGUCCUCAGACUUACUGA